AACGAACGCUGGCGGCAGGCUUAACACAUGCAAGUCGAACGCACCUCUCGGGGUGAGUGGCAGACGGGUGAGUAACGCGUGGGAAUCUACCCUUCUCUACGGGAUAGCUCCGGGAAACUGGAAUUAAUACCGUAUACGUCCUGAGGGAGAAAGAUUUAUCGGGGAAGGAUGAGCCCGCGUUGGAUUAGCUAGUUGGUGGGGUAAAGGCCUACCAAGGCGACGAUCCAUAGCUGGUCUAAGAGGAUGAUCAGCCACAUUGGGACUGAGACACGGCCCAAACUCCUACGGGAGGCAGCAGUGGGGAAUAUUGGACAAUGGGCGCAAGCCUGAUCCAGCCAUGCCGCGUGAGUGAUGAAGGCCCUAGGGUUGUAAAGCUCUUUCAGUGGGGACGAUAAUGACGGUACCCACAGAAGAAGCCCCGGCUAACUUCGUGCCAGCCGCCGCAGUAA
This 449-nucleotide ribosomal RNA is filed under the name uncultured bacterium. RNAcentral describes it as "partial 16S ribosomal RNA". It matches the Rfam family "Bacterial small subunit ribosomal RNA", at positions 29 to 523 of the family's 1533-position model. The record is from RNAcentral.